GCUUCGGUGGCCUAGUGGUUAAAACGUCCACCUAGGAUGCGGGAGGUCGUGGAUUCGAUUCCCGGUCGAGUCA
This is a non-coding RNA of Potamilus streckersoni, 73 nucleotides long. The record is from the annotation of a GenBank genome assembly. NCBI's taxonomy places the organism in Eukaryota, Metazoa, Mollusca, Bivalvia, Unionida, Unionidae.